RNAcentral lists this ribosomal RNA (490 nucleotides) under uncultured bacterium. RNAcentral describes it as "partial 16S ribosomal RNA". It matches the Rfam family "Bacterial small subunit ribosomal RNA", at positions 30 to 507 of the family's 1533-position model. The record is from RNAcentral.
AUUGAACGCUGGCGGCAGGCCUAACACAUGCAAGUCGAACGGUAACAGAAAGCAGCUUGCUGCUUUGCUGACGAGUGGCGGACGGGUGAGUAAUGUCUGGGAAACUGCCUGAUGGAGGGGGAUAACUACUGGAAACGGUAGCUAAUACCGCAUAACGUCGCAAGACCAAAGAGGGGGACCUUCGGGCCUCUUGCCAUCGGAUGUGCCCAGAUGGGAUUAGCUAGUAGGUGGGGUAAAGGCUCACCUAGGCGACGAUCCCUAGCUGGUCUGAGAGGAUGACCAGCCACACUGGAACGGAGACACGGUCCAGACUCCUACGGGAGGCAGCAGUGGGGAAUAUUGCACAAUGGGGGCAAGCCUGAUGCAGCAAUGCCGCGUGUAUGAAGAAGGCCUUCGGGUUGUAAAGUACUUUCAGCGGGGAGGAAGGGAGUAAAGUUAAUACCUGUGCUCAUUGACGUUACCCGCAGAAGAAGCACCGGCUAACUCCGUG